Molecule: ribosomal RNA, 217 nt
Filed under: Campeiostachys nutans
Lineage: Eukaryota; Viridiplantae; Streptophyta; Magnoliopsida; Poales; Poaceae
Description: Elymus nutans partial small subunit ribosomal RNA
Rfam family: Eukaryotic small subunit ribosomal RNA (bases 47-217)
Source: RNAcentral
GGGUCUACCCAUUGGUCAGGCUUAAUUGUCUGCACUGGUGAGAUGGAUCUCUUCCUUCUGACGAACCAUGAUGUCAUUAAUUUGGUGUCUUGGGGAAUCAGGACUGUUACUUUGAAAAAAUUAGAGUGUUUAAAGCAGGCUCACGCUUGAAUACAUUAGCAUGGAAUAAUGAAAUAGGACGUUUGAUUCUAUUUUGUUGGUUUCUAGGAUUGACGUA